AGGUAUUUACCAUUGCUUUAUCAAUCUUGAAUCGAUCUUCAAUUCCAUGACCAAUGGAGUCCAAUACAUGCAAUUGCCUGGUUCGACAAUUGAGUGCGUACAACCACCAGUGCUCCUUGAACACGGUUGGGACAAACACCUACAAAACGUUGCAAAGUUACAAACACCGACAAAUUUCAUAGAAAACAUCAAUAAUAUUAACCUACAUAAUCACAAUAAGAUAUUCCCUGAUAUGGGAAUAAAGCAUUCUCAUAAAAUGACAUGUAAUCCAAACUGGACCAUGAAUUUUGUCCCCCAUUGUUGAUCAUCUCCUCAAUUACACGAGUCUGCAACAACAAACACUAUUAUUAGUAAUAACAAAAACUUAAAAGAAAUCAAAAUCAAUUUAAAUCAACACUAACCGCAAAAAACGGAUUGAAUGAAAAGCGAUUCACCACUCCAAAAU
RNAcentral lists this long non-coding RNA (445 nucleotides) under Phaseolus vulgaris (common bean). RNAcentral's name for it is "long non-coding RNA (PVUL_LNC004854)". The record is from RNAcentral. Lineage: Eukaryota; Viridiplantae; Streptophyta; Magnoliopsida; Fabales; Fabaceae.